Long non-coding RNA from Schistocerca nitens (vagrant locust), 430 nucleotides. RefSeq lists it as uncharacterized. The record is from RefSeq and is a predicted model, not a curated record. Lineage: Eukaryota; Metazoa; Arthropoda; Insecta; Orthoptera; Acrididae. The transcript has 3 exons.
CUGCGAUUUCUGCUACUUCUGCGAUUUCUGCGACUUACCACCAUAUGAAAAAGUUACAUCUGUCAACACAGAAAAUUGCAUCGCAACAAACCUGUCAUUGGCAAGCACUUGAACUACAUUUCAGUCACUCAGUAAAGUGAUAACUCAAAAUAUCAUUGUCAGCAGAUCUGAAGAAAUUUGCCACUGUGUCUUUAGACCGUUUUCGUCAGACGAGAGACGCAGUUCUGACUCUGAUUACUGGUUGCUGUACGUAUCUAUCCACAUCAAGGCUGUUGAGAGAGAUUCGUGAAGAUUCAAGACAGCUCUUAGAGGAUUUGCUGUUUAAAAGUGAAAUAAUUGUGAAAUAAGUGUGUGAAUGAUUAAACUGUGUUUUAUUGAAGUUGUUGUGCGAUUUUAAAGGCAUAAUAAAUGUUAAAUACAGUGAGUGAAU